Molecule: ribosomal RNA, 417 nt
Filed under: uncultured microorganism
Description: bacterial SSU rRNA
Rfam family: Bacterial small subunit ribosomal RNA
Source: RNAcentral
GAGUUUGAUCUUGGCUCAGAUUGAACGCUGGCGGCAUGCCUUACACAUGCAAGUCGAACGGCAGCAUGAUCUAGCUUGCUAGAUUGAUGGCGAGUGGCGAACGGGUGAGUAAUACAUCGGAACGUGCCCUGUAGUGGGGGAUAACUAGUCGAAAGAUUAGCUAAUACCGCAUACGACCUGAGGGUGAGAGUGGGGGACCGCAAGGCCUCAUGCUAUAGGAGCGGCCGAUGUCUGAUUAGCUAGUUGGUGGGGUAAAGGCCCACCAAGGCGACGAUCAGUAGCUGGUCUGAGAGGACGAUCAGCCACACUGGGACUGAGACACGGCCCAGACUCCUACGGGAGGCAGCAGUGGGGAAUUUUGGACAAUGGGCGAAAGCCUGAUCCAGCAAUGCCGCGUGUGUGAAGAAGGCCUCGGUU